Molecule: RNA transcript, 2224 nt
Organism: Asparagus officinalis (garden asparagus)
Lineage: Eukaryota; Viridiplantae; Streptophyta; Magnoliopsida; Asparagales; Asparagaceae
Gene name: tip elongation aberrant protein 1-like
Exons: 12
Source: RefSeq, a predicted model, not a curated record
GCUGCCGACAACAGCCAGACCAGACGAUGUCCAAUGUCUUUGAUACUGCUAAGAAGACAUGGAGCAAGCCAUUAAUGAAGGGCGCGCCACCGUCUCCCAGGGAUAGUCAUAGUUGUACAACUGUUGGAAAUAGGUUGUUUGUGUUUGGUGGUACUGAUGGGACUACCCCUCUCAAGGAUUUACAUGUACUGGACACUUCAUGCAAUACAUGGAUAGUACCAGCUGUGAGCGGUGAGGGACCUGAUGCACGUGAAGGGCACAGUGCUACGCUAGUUGACAAGAGACUCUUCAUAUUUGGAGGUUGUGGAAAAUCGAGUGAUACUCAUCAAGAACUAUAUUUCAAUGAUCUGUAUAUUUUGGACACAGAAAAAUUUAUCUGGGAGCGUGCUAUCACAUCUGGAACCCCACCUUCUCCACGUGAUAGUCAUACCUGCUCUUCAUGGAAUAGAAAAAUCAUCGUUCUCGGUGGUGAAGAUCAGUCAGAUUGUUAUCUAUCUGAUGUUUACAUGCUUGAUGCAGAGGCACUAGUAUGGAAGCAAGUGAACACUUCAGGACAGAUGCUGGCCCCUCGUGCAGGUCAUACAACUGUACUAGUGGGAAGUUGCUUGUUUGUAUUUGGGGGCUUCACUGAUUCCCGGAACCUCUAUGACGACCUUCAUGUUCUAAAUGUUGGUACUAGUACUUGGAGCAGAGUCGUCACUACAAAUAAAGGGCCAUCAGCUCGAUUUUCAGUAGCUGGUGACUGUUUGGAUGAGCAAAGUGGCAUUAUUGCAUUCAUAGGUGGAUGCAAUAGACAUCUCGAGGCCCUAGAUGAUAUGUACUAUUUGCACACAAGUAUGAAGCGGGAAAAUGGUUUAACUGAACAAAUGCAAGAUAAGUCCUCUGGUAGGAGAGUAUUCAACAUGUGUCCUGAAAAUAAUCUUCCAGCCAAAGAACCAGAGAAAAACAAUAAUGUCAACAUGCAGGGGCUGAAGUCUGAUCCAUCCCCUUUCACACCUCUGCAAACACAGACAAAUGAAAGUAAUCUUAGUGCAAGUCCUAUAUCAGGUGAUUCCAGUUCAGCUUUAAAGGUUCCAUUCGAAGCGACAAUUACAGAAGAAAAUCAACAUGGAUAUUCAAUAGAAACAAUCAUCGAUGGUAAAUUGUUUCGUGGAGUGGUGUUCUCCUCCACAGCACUUCCUUAUCAGGAUGGUCGCAAUUACCCAAAAAAGAGAAGGAUGCGAAAAGGCUAUGAAGGAAUUAAACUGAGUGAGCACCAACCUUUAUCAAACACUCCACGAGUCAUCCCUCAGGAAACUAAAACCUCAGGCCAGGAGCAAAUUACUGCUACUUAUGCAAAGGGAUCAGCAUCAAAAGCGUCAUCCACGGAUAUUCUCGUCAUGGGUUUGACCAAGUCAACUACUACUGCUGGUCCUCAUCUCCCAAAUAUGGCAUCAGAGAAUGUGGAGCCACAAUUACAUUCAUCAAGAAACUUGGAAGCUGGAUUUCAAAAUAUGGGGUCAUUAAAAAGCCCUUUUGCAAUAAUGAUAAAUGACUCAAAAAAAUCAUAUGUAUCACCAGUGAAAGAUCUGACAACUACCCAAAUCAUGCAACCAUUGUCUAUGCCAUUAGAAACUCUCAAGAUUGACUCAGAAAAACUGGAGAUGUCGCAAAUGCCGACAGAAGACUUGAAACCAUCACCAGUGCCAUCUGAAACCCUGAAAGAUGCUGGCAUCUCUGAUGAAACGCCUGCUACUGAUAAAGACCAGCACCCUGAUCUUUUAAGCCAAGGCAUGUGAUACUAAUGUUUCCCACAAGCCCCUCCCUAUGCUCAUAAUUUGUCUUGACAGGCAGUUGACACUAAGUCAAAGAAUUGACAUUAGGAUAUGGUGUAGACCGGUUCUAAUUGAGCAAAAGGAUUUGGAGGAAAAUAGAAUUGGUAAAAAUCGAGUAAUCGACAAAGUGACUCGAGGUGCUUGUCAGAACAGCAGUUCUUUCUCUAUGCGCUUCAUGCUGGGAAAGAAUUUGCUCUCUGGAGCCAACUAACUAAAGUUUCAUCCAGAAGUAGCCUGUUAUUAUUUAAAAUCAGACUUUGUAGCAUGUGGGUUCGCCCUGUUGUGUUUAUGCUGUGUAUUUGCAUAAUAGAAAAGAGAGGAAAGAAAUAAUGCAAGUCAGCAAAUUGUCACGAUCUUCUGUGGAUCUUUACUUCUCAAUAUAUUUCUCCAUCGUUUUAAUCUCAACUUCA